GACAGUUUGGCCGAGUGGUCUAAGGCGCUGGCUUAAGGCGCCAGAUCGAAAGGUCGUGGGUUCGAACCCCACAGCUGUCA
This 80-nucleotide transfer RNA is filed under the name Perkinsus marinus ATCC 50983. It matches the Rfam family "tRNA". Rfam says of the family: Transfer RNA (tRNA) molecules are approximately 80 nucleotides in length. Their secondary structure includes four short double-helical elements and three loops (D, anti-codon, and T loops). Lineage: Eukaryota; Perkinsozoa; Perkinsida; Perkinsidae. The record is from Rfam by way of RNAcentral.